Melospiza georgiana is the source of this 1527-nucleotide long non-coding RNA. RefSeq lists it as uncharacterized. The transcript has 3 exons. NCBI's taxonomy places the organism in Eukaryota, Metazoa, Chordata, Aves, Passeriformes, Passerellidae. The record is from RefSeq and is a predicted model, not a curated record.
GGACAUUGCAGAGGAACUGUUGCUCAUGAAGUGCCAUGUCAAGAGACAUAUUCCAGGGCCUACUGUGGUGGCAGCUGUAGGAUACAGAACAAUUUGAUACGUAAACCCUUGUUCUGAGGUAGAUUGUGCAUUUUCACCCUGUAUUUGGCAGUAAUUAUUUGACCAACAGAGUGAAACCCUCUGUCCUGUGUGAAAAGGCACAACAGUAGCUUUGCUGGAAAGCUUGUGAUCCCAGAAAAAAGUGGGCUCAGUGUUUUGGGGUGAGGUCAGCUCCUGUGUGGCUGGACAACAUAAAGGUGCCCUGUGAGAGGAACCAGGGCUCUGUGGGGGCCACAUCUCAGCAGUCUGCCUCCUGCACAUCCCAUCCCAUGGCUACAGCUGGGGGCACCAGGCUGGGCAGCUCAGCUUUUUGGCAGUGAGCCCACCUGAACCUCACCAGCUGUCGCUGACCCUGAGACUCUGGAGGCUGUGCUGGGUCCUGUCAAGUGUUUGCUGUGGGGACAGUGGGGAAGGACACAAACCCACUCUCCUGAACCAGACCUUGGGAAUAAGAGGUUAAAAUAUUAAUUAUGACACACCACAAAAUUAUGAGCCUACUCUAACACAAUAAAGAUUUCAUCAGACGCUUUACAAAGCAGGCUUAGUGCCUCCCAUUUCUUUUUAUAGCCGUGAAUUUUAAGUCCCACUGGGGACCAAAAGAAUGUGGGCAAGAAUCAUCUGAAACUGGAUACUUUUCUAUGUAAGGUUUUGAAACGACAGAGUUGAUUUAAGCAAUUCCUCAGCGCAGUGUUUUGCAAUGCAAUGUUUUUCUGCCCGGUUCACGACGGGCUGUGCCAGCCUGCAUGUCCCCCUGCGGCACUGGAGCCUUUGCUCAGGACAGCUGUGGCAUGCACACUGUUUACCAACUCCCCGAUAGGGAAAAACAAAGCUCUCGUUCCUGGGCUAUGGAAAACUUCUGCCGAUGAAUCCACGCCCUCUCUCCGGGGAGGAAAUCAAAACAAACAUUAAUGUCUCUUCACCCUUUUAUGCCUGGUAUAUUAAUCACCCAACAAGCGCUCAUGACUUCUCCCGGUUCCAGUUUGCAUUUGCCCUCUAACUACUGGGAGGAGUCCUGCUUUGUCUAUAAAAAGCUGCACUUUGCCAAACAGUGUAACAGAACCGAACUUAGGGAUUCACUCGCCCAUCUCACCCAGGGAGGGAGGACUGAGCGCAGCCAUGUUCGGCAUUGGGAAGAAGCUCGCUGAGGACGCUGUGCAACAAGCUGGAAGUGCUGCACAAGUGGCAGUUGACACUGUGAACCAGACUGUGCAGCAAGCAACAGAACAGGCUAAGGCUGCUGGUCAGAAAGCACUUGAUGAAGUCUACAAGGUUGCUGAAACUGGUGAAAAAGCUGUAAAAAAUGUAGCAAACCAAGCAACUUCAUGGGGCAAAAGCUUUGGACAAUAAAGAUCAAAAUGUAACACCACUGAAAUUUUUGUAAACAAGUUUCUACUACAUAUACUCUUAAAUAAAGAUAAUACUUACACU